This 24-nucleotide non-coding RNA is filed under the name Arabidopsis thaliana (thale cress). The record is from RNAcentral. Lineage: Eukaryota; Viridiplantae; Streptophyta; Magnoliopsida; Brassicales; Brassicaceae.
CCAGUGUCUGGCAAAAGACUGUGC